Molecule: ribosomal RNA, 417 nt
Filed under: uncultured bacterium
Lineage: Bacteria
Description: bacterial SSU rRNA
Rfam family: Bacterial small subunit ribosomal RNA
Source: RNAcentral
AUUGAACGCUGGCGGCGUGCCUAACACAUGCAAGUCGAGCGGUAACAGGUGUAGCAAUACAUGCUGACGAGCGGCGGACGGGUGAGUAACGCUUGGGAAUCUGCCUAUUAGUGGGGGACAACCCGGGGAAACUCGGGCUAAUACCGCAUACGCACUACGGUGGAAAGCCGGGGACCGCAAGGCCUGGCGCUAACAGAUGAGCCCAAGUCGGAUUAGCUAGUUGGUAGGGUAACGGCCUACCAAGGCGACGAUCCGUAACUGGUCUGAGAGGACGACCAGUCACACCGGAACUGAGACACGGUCCGGACUCCUACGGGAGGCAGCAGUGGGGAAUAUUGGACAAUGGGCGAAAGCCUGAUCCAGCGACGCCGCGUGGUGAAGAAGGCCUGCGGGUUGUAAAGCCCUUUCAGUGGGAAG